ACCCAGAUUGUGCUAAUUCAGCAUCCUCUGCAGUGUACCUCCCGUGAUAGGUGGAAUAAUGGUCCCCCAAAGAUAGCCACAUUCUGAUCUCCAAAACCUGUGGAUAUGUUAGGUUAUGUGGCAAAAGGGAAUUAAGUUUGCAAAUAGUUAAGGUUGCUAACCAGCUGACUUUAAAAAUAGCUAAAGGAUCCUGGAUUAUUCAGGUGAGCCCAAUGUAAUCAAAAGGGUCCUGAAAAGUCAAAGAGGAAGGCAGAAGAGUCAGAGGGAGAUAUGACUAUAGAAAAUAUAGAAAAACGGUCAGAGAGAAACACCAUUACUGGCUUUGAUGACGGAGGGAAGGGACAGUAAGCCAAGGAAUAUGGCAAUGUUUGGCAGAUGGAAAAGGCAAAGACUCAGAUUCUCCCCUAGCAUCUCCACAAAGGAAUGCAGCUCUGUCCAACCCUUCGUUGUAGCCAGUUUCCUGGCACAGAGCUCCUAUAACCCUUGGAAUUUCCUAAGUGACAGAGUGAGAGUGAGGAAGAGACGAUCUCUGUGAGUUGAAAGACACCCUAAAGACGGGUGAUUAGGCUGCCUGGAAGUGCCACCUGUUUCAGAUCCCAAACCUGAAAAUCUGGCCCAGAGAAAGCGGCGUCCGGCGGUUCUUAAAAGUCCGGUAUAAUUGUCCAGUGUUUGUGAUAAGGCCGAGGAUACACAGAACUGAAUCAAUUGACCUAUGUAACAUGAUGUGAAAAGAAGGAUGCUAUACAGGACAGGAGAAAUGGAUUCAAGUCCAGAACCUAUCACAAAAGAGCUUGUACAAAUCAACCAAUGUCUUUGAAUCUUGGUUUCUUCAUCUUAAAAUGAAGAGUUUACAUGACACUAAUGGCUUUCAGUGGAGUGGCUGUGUGCAAGCUUCCCAGUUGAGACCCAUUGGAACAGAAUAAUUAAGUCAAUCCUUUGAAGUUCUAACACUCUAAUUUUCUAAAUCUGUGGCAUAACAGAGCCAGUGUCUACAUAUGUUCUCAUUCAUUUUCUUUUCAUUACGCAGUAACUUAUUUAAAAAACAUAAUAAUCAAGAAUAAGGAGGAGGAGAAAAAGAACUUUUAGAAUGUCCUUGGAGAGAAAACAUGAAUGACAAGUCACUCUUUUCCUGUUUUAAGGUCAUGAAAAUGCGAUUACAUUAUUAUGUGAACAACCCUGGAUUGAUUUAUUACUCUGAAGAUAAUGACCCAAGGACCACUAUAUUAUCAGU
Molecule: long non-coding RNA, 1231 nt
Filed under: Equus caballus (horse)
Lineage: Eukaryota; Metazoa; Chordata; Mammalia; Perissodactyla; Equidae
Description: lncRNA (ENSECAG00000045475.1)
Source: RNAcentral